RNAcentral lists this ribosomal RNA (445 nucleotides) under uncultured bacterium. RNAcentral describes it as "partial 16S ribosomal RNA". It matches the Rfam family "Bacterial small subunit ribosomal RNA", at positions 354 to 796 of the family's 1533-position model. The record is from RNAcentral.
GUGAGGAAUAUUGCGCAAUGGAGGCAACUCUGACGCAGCCAUGCCGCGUGCAGGAAGAAGGCGCUACGCGUUGUAAACUGCUUUUAACCGGGAAGAAACCCCAGGACGUGUCCUGGGUUGACGGUACCGGAGGAAUAAGCACCGGCUAACUUCGUGCCAGCAGCCGCGGUAAUACGAAGGGUGCAAGCGUUAUCCGGAUUCAUUGGGUUUAAAGGGUGCGUAGGCGGAGCGUUAAGUCAGUGGUGAAAUCCUGCAGCUUAACUGUAGACUUGCCAUUGAUACUGGCGCUCUUGAGUGCGCUUGAAGUGGGCGGAAUGUGCCGUGUAGCGGUGAAAUGCUUAGAUAUGGCACAGAACACCAAUUGCGAAGGCAGCUCACUAAGGCGAUACUGACGCUGAGGCACAAAAGCGUGGGGAUCGAACAGGAUUAGAAACCCCGGUAGUCC